Nicotiana tabacum (common tobacco) is the source of this 1540-nucleotide non-coding RNA. NCBI's taxonomy places the organism in Eukaryota, Viridiplantae, Streptophyta, Magnoliopsida, Solanales, Solanaceae. The record is from RefSeq and is a predicted model, not a curated record.
GAGAAGGUAAACAAAUUAUUCUUCUUUAAACAAAAUUAAUUUUUUUUUUUUCUAUUUUGAGCUUGGUGCAUGUGCCUCAACUUUUCAAUGCCAGUAUGCCACUGAUAAAGCAAGGCACAGGUGGAUCUGGUCGGGAUGUACAUCAUUUGCCUUUAAAAAUUAAAAAUUGGAAUUUUUAGCUUCCUAUAUACUAUUUAACUUAGCAAUUUCCUUAAUAAUUUAUAAUGGGCUGGGAUGGGUCAAAAUAAAAGGCUUUAGUCUAGGUUUUCAGCUCCAUAGUCCAUAUACGCAGUCUCCGUUGGCCAGGGAAUUUUCUUCCCAAAGCCAUCAUUGAUUCAACGAGAGAAAUCAUUGCCUGAGGAGGAUCGACAGGAAACAAUAUUAAUUUUUGGAGACGGAAGACAAGAUGCCAUUAGCAGUGUUCUUGUUGUGGCUGCAAAGUUUGGAUAAUGGACUCCACUAAACCAGCUAGCUGGGCUUGAAAUGCUAAAAUCUAAGGGCCUCGACAUGAUGCCCAACCAUAUUUGAGUUGCAGUAGAGAUUGAUGAAGCUGAGUUGAAUUUUCAAAAGUUAAAAACUUAUACAAAUGUGAACGAGGGAGAACUGUUGUGAUCGUAUGAGUAUAUUGGGUGAAGUUCGAUAAUGGUUUGAUGGAAUUUCUUGUUUUGCAGGAAAAAUGUCUUAGAGAAAUUUCACUACUUAUGAGCAACACCUGUCUAAUUUACGUCCCAAAUGUCUCUUAUAUCAGCUUAUCAACUCAGACAAAUAUGUGAUUUGCUUCGCCUGCACCGAAUCAUCAUUAAAUUCACAUCUUUGUCUGAGUUGAUAAGAUUAUCCAUGAGACAUGUAUACUCCGUGAAAGAUUUCUCAAGAUGGUGUCCAUUGCAUCGAUGGCUUCUAAACAAGGGAUUUCCAUCAAUCCAUUUCCGAACUUGAUAUCGAAUAAACUUGUGCGAUAACCGACAGUUUUCUUUUUCCAAAUUUGUAUAAAUGUUUGAUUUUUGAGAAGUUAACUCCAGCUUCAUCAAGCUCUCUUGCACUUUGAACGUGAAGAUAUGUUGAGUUCCUUAGUUUUUGUCAUCUCUUUUGAUGUAAACAUCUGCAAACGAUUACUUUAGUUGCAACAGGCUAUCCGUGCUCAUCACCACAUGAGAAAGCUCAGCUCACCAACUGACUCGUCAGUAUAAGGUACCUGUCAUUAUUGCUGACUUAUCAGCUUUUACAUCUUAAUUAGUUAUUCAUUUAAUUCUUGUUGAACUCAAAAGGGGGAAGAUAGUAACAGUUUAUUACAAUUAAAUGAAGAAGCUAAAAAGAAGAAUGACAAAGAAUUCCUCCAUUAUAGAAGUAUUGUGGAAAUGCAGACUAUAUUGCUUUCAGUGGCUGGUGAACCUUUCAAAACUGGCAAAUCUACUUUUAUCUUAUUGUUGAAUGCAAUACUCAAAAAUGUACAAGUGACUACUGAAACAGUAACAAAAGAAAUAAAAGAGGAGAGGUUUCCCUUGCUGGUAUAUAAUGGUAUUGAGAUUCUUUUAUUCUGUAA